Molecule: unclassified non-coding RNA, 472 nt
Filed under: plant metagenome
Description: partial contains small subunit ribosomal RNA, internal transcribed spacer 1, and 5.8S ribosomal RNA
Source: RNAcentral
UUUUGUUGCAUGCCUACAUGUGAAGCCUUGAAUCCAAGUCCGUCCACCUACAGUGUAGGUAGACGUGCGACACCAUCCUGUUGCUGGAAUGACUCCUCGGAGCAGAUCAGCAGCCGCCACGCUGGCGGUCCACAGAUCAAACGAUGGUGGCCCUCGGCUCUGACCGAUGGUUAAGAUAUGACCGGCCUGCCCUAGAGAUGGGUCAGAUUGAAGUGUUCCGUAGGUGAACCUGCGGAAGGAUCAUUAACGAAAUAGAGAGUAGCCCUGAAGGUUCUGUGCUUUGCACCGCGCCUCACGGUUAUACCCUAUCACCCAAUGUCUACAUUCCUUCUGUUGCUUUGGCAGACCCGUGGGUAACCACCGCCGGGCUUCCCGGUGUGCGGCUGUCAGAGGACCAUCAAACUCAAUCAAUCAGUUGUCUGAGCAAAAUAUACAAUAGUUAAAACUUUCAACAACGGAUCUCUUGGUUCCG